CUUUGUUUCUAUUUUGUUGGUUUUUAGGAACGAAGUAAUGAUUAAUAGGGAUAGUUGGGGGCAUUAGUAUUCCAUUGUCAGAGGUGAAAUUCUUGGAUUUAUGAAAGACUAACUUCUGCGAAAGCAUUUGCCAAGGAUGUUUUCAUUAAUCAAGAACGAAAGUUAGGGGAUCGAAGACGAUCAGAUACCGUCGUAGUCUUAACCAUAAACUAUGCCGACUAGGGAUCCGCCAACGUUAAUUUAUGACUUGGUGGGCACCUUAUGAGAAAUCAAAGUUUUUGGGUUCCGGGGGGAGUAUGGUCGCAAGGCUGAAACUUAAAGGAAUUGACGGAAGGGCACCACCAGGAGUGGAGCCUGCGGCUUAAUUUGACUCAACACGGGGAAACUCAC
Molecule: ribosomal RNA, 390 nt
Filed under: fungal sp.
Lineage: Eukaryota; Fungi
Description: SSU rRNA
Rfam family: Eukaryotic small subunit ribosomal RNA
Source: RNAcentral